AGCGAAUCGAUGGGAGCUUGCUCCCUGAGAUUAGCGGCGGACGGGUGAGUAACACGUGGGCAACCUGCCUAUAAGACUGGGAUAACUUCGGGAAACCGGAGCUAAUACCGGAUACGUUCUUUUCUCGCAUGAGAGAAGAUGGAAAGACGGUUUACGCUGUCACUUAUAGAUGGGCCCGCGGCGCAUUAGCUAGUUGGUGAGGUAAUGGCUCACCAAGGCGACGAUGCGUAGCCGACCUGAGAGGGUGAUCGGCCACACUGGGACUGAGACACGGCCCAGACUCCUACGGGAGGCAGCAGUAGGGAAUCUUCCGCAAUGGACGAAAGUCUGACGGAGCAACGCCGCGUGAACGAAGAAGGCCUUCGGGUCGUAAAGUUCUGUUGUUAGGGAAGAACAAGUACCAGAGUAACUGCUGGUACCUUGACGGUACCUAACCAGAAAGCCACGGCUAACUACGUGCCAGCAGCCGCGGUAAUACGUAGGUGGCAAGCGUUGUCCGGAAUUAUUGGGCGUAAAGCGCGCGCAGGUGGUUCCUUAAGUCUGAUGUGAAAGCCCACGGCUCAACCGUGGA
RNAcentral lists this ribosomal RNA (571 nucleotides) under Peribacillus frigoritolerans. RNAcentral describes it as "bacterial SSU rRNA". It matches the Rfam family "Bacterial small subunit ribosomal RNA", at positions 65 to 619 of the family's 1533-position model. The record is from RNAcentral. Lineage: Bacteria; Bacillati; Bacillota; Bacilli; Caryophanales; Bacillaceae.